AGUGAACGCUGGCGGUAGGCCUAACACAUGCAAGUCGAACGGCAGCACAGUAAGAGCUUGCUCUUACGGGUGGCGAGUGGCGGACGGGUGAGGAAUACAUCGGAAUCUACUUUUUCGUGGGGGAUAACGUAGGGAAACUUACGCUAAUACCGCAUACGACCUACGGGUGAAAGCAGGGGAUCUUCGGACCUUGCGCGAUUGAAUGAGCCGAUGUCGGAUUAGCUAGUUGGCGGGGUAGAGGCGCACCAAGGCGACGAUCCGUAGCUGGUCUGAGAGGAUGAUCAGCCACACUGGAACUGAGACACGGUCCAGACUCCGACGGGAGGCAGCAGUGGGGAAUAUUGGACAAUGGGCGAAAGCCUGAUCCAGCAAUACCGCGUGGGUGAAGAAGGCCUUCGGGUUGUAAAGCCCUUUUGUUGGGAAAGAAAAGCAGCAGGUUAAUACCCCGCUGUUCUGACGGUACCCAAAGAAUAAGCACCGGCUAACUUCGUG
RNAcentral lists this ribosomal RNA (492 nucleotides) under uncultured bacterium. RNAcentral describes it as "partial 16S ribosomal RNA". It matches the Rfam family "Bacterial small subunit ribosomal RNA", at positions 29 to 507 of the family's 1533-position model. The record is from RNAcentral.